Long non-coding RNA from Gopherus evgoodei (Goodes thornscrub tortoise), 342 nucleotides. RefSeq lists it as uncharacterized. The record is from RefSeq and is a predicted model, not a curated record. Lineage: Eukaryota; Metazoa; Chordata; Testudines; Testudinidae. The transcript has 3 exons.
GAAAACACUGACAGGGAUUCUGUAGUCUGAGUCAUCACAAUUUCCCCAUUGGAGUGUGGACUCAUGGGAGGCCAUCAUGGUUUCUUCAGAUGUGGCUCUGUAGAUCACUGUAGCUUAAGUCAUCCAGCACCCACUUGAUUUGAUUCUUACCCUGGAUCCAGAGCACUAACAACCAGAUGAGCUGAGCCUGUGAGAUCAUCUUGAUUUGUCUGAGUGGCCCGAUGCUGAUCAACAAAUGUUGACAGUGGCUGUGUCUCCUGGAAACACUGACAGGGAUUCUGUUGAAUCAGCACGUUCUGCCCACUGAAAUCUGGAUAUAGAAAAAAAAAGAGGCAGAAAUAG